Molecule: long non-coding RNA, 1366 nt
Filed under: Felis catus (domestic cat)
Lineage: Eukaryota; Metazoa; Chordata; Mammalia; Carnivora; Felidae
Description: lncRNA (ENSFCAG00000052876.1)
Source: RNAcentral
GACCUCAUUUGGAAAGAGAGUCUUUAUAGAUGUAACACACUAAGAGGAGGUCAUUAGGGUCGGCCUUGACCAAUAUAACUGGUGUCCUGACAGGAAGGGGACAUUCAGACACAGAUGCACACAGGGAUGACCACGAAGGAACACAGGGGAAAGCCACGCUAAGACAGAGGAUUGAACUGUUGCAUGUACAAAGGAAGGAAUGCACAAAAGUAUGGCAGCCACCCACCAGAAACAAGAAAGAGGUAAAGAAGGAUGCUUGCUUAUAGGUUUUAGAAGGAAUAUGGCCCUGCCAACACCUGACAUCAGACUUGUAGUCUCCAGAACUGAGAAGACAAUCAUUUCUGUUGUUUGAAGCCACCCAGGUUUUGGUAUGUUGUUACAGCAGCCGUAACAAAUGAUCACCUGGAUCCAGCCAGGCCUGAAGCCACGGCUAUUUUAGUCACACAAGCCCCAAACUCUUCUUUUCUUUCUCUUGAUCCGAUAUCCCCCACUUGUAACCAGAGAGUGACUGUGUCAAAUGGUCCAUGUUGUCACUGCAGCUUUGUGCUUGGUAUCUGACCUGUUGGCCAUCUUUUCUCACCUCUGCCUGUGAGAUCACCCCCCCCCCCACCCCCCAUCCCCUGCCCCGGCGCCUUAGCAUGGGGAGGGCUGCAGGAAGUUUGUGCUGCUGAGUCACGAAGUGAAAUGACUGUUUAGGAAUAUUGCAAAAAUAAUAGCCUCUUAGAACAGUUUGAUGUCUUUUUGUUUACAUGUUUCCCCAAGCAGGGUAAUGAGGUUGGCGUCUCCGUGUGGCCCGUGGUUUACUCAGCACGACCAGGGAAGAAAGGCCCCUCUGGGCUUCAACACCUUUCAGGGGGAAAUUCAUGCUGUUCCUCUGGGCUAAGGCUUCACCAGCUCCUCUCCACUCCUCUUGCCCCAGCCCGUACUUUCAGCCCCUCUACUAUUCUGCUCCCUGGGGAUCAGGAAGAGGUACGAGAAGAUGAUGCAUUGAAGUUUGAAGGCAGAAUUUGCACUGGAUUGACAAUAAGCGAAGCACAUUCCAGCAGAGAAUAUCUUGAAAGGCAUGGUCUGGGAGCUUCACAUAGUUUCGGGCUGCCGGAAGAGAGAGUUCAUUUCAGGGAAUAAUUCUUGGAUUUGGGGAAUGGUGCCUGUGACUCUACACCCUUCCCUCCCCACCUGCCUCCGGGGACUCUGAGGGAGUGGCCCAUACUCAAACAGCCCUACAGGAGGUGCCUAGAUCCUCGUGCCCCAGGGAUAAUCCCCUAAACACCGUUUAGGGCAGCUUUGCGGCCGGUGAGUCACAAGCUUGUGGUGUGCCUCCUUUCUGGGUGUAGGAGUGUAGGGAGGAGGGUAGGGUAGCCGGGGG